UGAAUCUCGCGAUAAUUCUGCAGGCCUAAUUUUCUUUUAGAAAUGCCGCCAUCUUCUGGUGAUCUAACACGUACCAAUGAUCGGUAUAUCUGGACUGAGAUCUAAUGAUUCUGAGGAAACCAACAAAUUUCCAAGAAUCAGCUCAGCAGAGCGGCAUGUAGAAACAGCUCUCCUGAAAUCAGCAUAACCUAAAGAGCUGGAAUUCACAUUGUGCCUAAGGAGAGAAUUCUUGCCUUGAACAGGAAUGACUCCACCUAUCAACAACAGUAAGACAUUUUGAGCAGACCUGACUGUGGAAGUCAGAGCUUACUAAAAGGAAGUGGUUUUCUGUUUGAACAAUAACCCAUAAAAACAUCCUCAUUCUCUUCAACUCACAUUUUUGCUUUAUGAAAUGACAUUACUUGACCUGGCAAAUCUAGUUUUACAAGACUUAAAAAAAUAAACACGGAUAAGAGGUUUAUUUUAAA
This is a non-coding RNA of Danio rerio (zebrafish), 467 nucleotides long. NCBI's taxonomy places the organism in Eukaryota, Metazoa, Chordata, Actinopteri, Cypriniformes, Danionidae. The record is from RefSeq and is a predicted model, not a curated record.